UCCCUGGUGGCUCAGUGGUAGAGAAUCCAUCUGCCAAUGCAGGAGCCUCAGGUUCAAUCCCUGAUUGGGGAG
RNAcentral lists this transfer RNA (72 nucleotides) under Bos taurus (domestic cattle). It matches the Rfam family "tRNA". From Rfam's summary of the family: Transfer RNA (tRNA) molecules are approximately 80 nucleotides in length. Their secondary structure includes four short double-helical elements and three loops (D, anti-codon, and T loops). RNAcentral also lists the same sequence under 3 other names. Lineage: Eukaryota; Metazoa; Chordata; Mammalia; Artiodactyla; Bovidae. The record is from Rfam by way of RNAcentral.